This 366-nucleotide ribosomal RNA is filed under the name uncultured beta proteobacterium. RNAcentral's name for it is "bacterial SSU rRNA". It matches the Rfam family "Bacterial small subunit ribosomal RNA", at positions 8 to 379 of the family's 1533-position model. Lineage: Bacteria; Pseudomonadati; Pseudomonadota; Betaproteobacteria. The record is from RNAcentral.
AGAGUUUGAUCCUGGCUCAGAUUGAACGCUGGCGGCAUGCCUCACACAUGCAAGUCGAACGCGAAAGGGGGCAACCCUGAGUAGAGUGGCGAACGGGUGAGUAAUGCAUCGGAACGUGUCCUGUGUCGGGGGACAACCCCGAGAAAUCGGGGCUAAUACCGCAUACGUCCUACGGGAGAUAGUGGGGACCGCAUGGCCUCACACUAUAGGGGCGGCCGAUGCCGGAUUAGCUAGUUGGUGGGGUAAAAGCUCACCAAGGGCGACGAUCCGUAGCUGGUCUGAGAAGAUGAUCAGCCACACUGGGACUGAGACACGGNCCCAACUCCUACGGGAGGCAGCAGUGGGGAAUUUUGGAACAUGGGCGCA